Molecule: unclassified non-coding RNA, 713 nt
Filed under: Populus adenopoda
Lineage: Eukaryota; Viridiplantae; Streptophyta; Magnoliopsida; Malpighiales; Salicaceae
Description: partial contains small subunit ribosomal RNA, internal transcribed spacer 1, 5.8S ribosomal RNA, internal transcribed spacer 2, and large subunit ribosomal RNA
Rfam family: 5.8S ribosomal RNA (bases 294-449)
Source: RNAcentral
CCUUAUCAUUUAGAGGAAGGAGAAGUCGUAACAAGGUUUCCGUAGGUGAACCUGCGGAAGGAUCAUUGUCGAAACCUGCCUAGCAGAACGACCCGCGAACCCGUGGCAUGACAAGCUGGGCUCGGGGGGCACCCGCCCCUCGCGUCCUCGCGGGCCGUGGAGGGACGCGUCUGCGCCCUGCGCGGCUCGCAAACGAACCCCGGCGCGAGAAGCGCCAAGGAAAUUGAGUACUAGGAGCGCGCCCCCGUAGCCUCGGCGUCGGGGGCGCGCCUUCUUCUGGUGAUAAUCUAAACGACUCUCGGCAACGGAUAUCUCGGCUCUCGCAUCGAUGAAGAACGUAGCGAAAUGCGAUACUUGGUGUGAAUUGCAGAAUCCCGUGAACCAUCGAGUCUUUGAACGCAAGUUGCGCCCGAGGCCUCCUGGUCGAGGGCACGUCUGCCUGGGUGUCACGCAUCGUCGCCCCCUCUCCCCUCGGCUCGCGAGGGCGGGGGCGGAUACUGGUCUCCCGCGCGCUCCCGCUCGCGGUUGGCCCAAAAUCGAGUCCUCGGCGACGGUCGCCACGACGAGCGGUGGUUGAGAGACCCUCGGACACGGUCGUGCGCGCGCCUGUCGCCCCCGGGAUCUCCUGGACCCUCGGGCAUCGAAUUUCUAGGAUGCUCUCGUUGCGACCCCAGGUCAGGCGGGACUACCCGCUGAGUUUAAGCAUAUCAAUA